ACGGGAGGCAGCAGUGAGGAAUAUUGGACAAUGGAGGCAACUCUGAUCCAGCCAAACCGCGUGAAGGAAGACGGUCCUAUGGAUUGUAAACUUCUUUUGUAAGGGGAUAAACCUAGAUAUGUAUAUCUAGCUGAAGGUACCUUACGAAUAAGCAUCGGCUAACUCCGUGCCAGCAGCCGCGGUAAUACGGAGGAUGCAGGCGUUAUCCGGAUUUAUUAGGUUUAAAGGGUGCGCAGGCGGGACACUAAGUCGGCGGUGAAAUCUCAUGGCCCAACCAUGAAACUGCCAUCGAUACUGGUGACCUUGAGUACGAAUGAGGAAGGCGGAAUGAGUCGUGUAGCGGUGAAAUGCUUAGAUAUGACGAAGAACACCGAUUGCGUAGGCAGCAGACCAGGCCGUAAAUGACGCUCAUGCACGAAAGUGCGGGGAUCGAACAGGAUUAGAUACCCUGGUA
This 454-nucleotide ribosomal RNA is filed under the name uncultured Chryseobacterium sp. Its description in RNAcentral is "partial 16S ribosomal RNA". It matches the Rfam family "Bacterial small subunit ribosomal RNA", at positions 341 to 792 of the family's 1533-position model. Lineage: Bacteria; Pseudomonadati; Bacteroidota; Flavobacteriia; Flavobacteriales; Weeksellaceae. The record is from RNAcentral.